This 446-nucleotide ribosomal RNA is filed under the name uncultured bacterium. Its description in RNAcentral is "partial 16S ribosomal RNA". It matches the Rfam family "Bacterial small subunit ribosomal RNA", at positions 29 to 523 of the family's 1533-position model. The record is from RNAcentral.
AGCGAACGCUGGCGGCAGGCCUAACACAUGCAAGUCGAGCGCCCCGCAAGGGGAGCGGCAGACGGGAGAGUAACACGUGGGAACGUACCCUUGGUUCGGAACAACCCAGGGAAACUUGGGCUAAUACCGGAUAAGCCCUUACGGGGAAAGAUUCAUCGCCGAAGGAUCGGCCCGCGUCUGAUUAGCUAGUUGGUGGGGUAACGGCCCACCAAGGCGACGAUCAGUAGCUGGUCUGAGAGGAUGAUCAGCCUCACUGGGACUGAGACACGGCCCAGACUCCUACGGGGGGCAGCAGUGGGGAAUAUUGGACAAUGGGCGCAAGCCUGAUCCAGCCAUGCCGCGUGGGUGAUGAAGGCCCUAGGGUUGUAAAGCCCUUUCGGCGGGGAAGAUAAUGACGGUACCCGCAGAAGAAGCCCCGGCUAACUUCGUGCCAGCAGCCGCCGUAA